GAUGAACGCUGGCGGCGUGCUUAACACAUGCAAGUCGAACGGAAAGGCCCAAGCUUGCUUGGGUACUCGAGUGGCGAACGGGUGAGUAACACGUGGGUGAUCUGCCCUGCACUUCGGGAUAAGCCUUGGAAACUGGGUCUAAUACCGGAUAGGACCACUUCUUGGAUGUUGUGGUGGAAAGUUUUUUCGUUGUGGGAUGAGCUCGCGGCCUAUCAGCUUGUUGGUGGGGUAAUGGCCUACCAAGGCGUCGGCGGGUAGCCGGCCUGGGAGGGUGUACGGCCGCAUUGGGACUGAGAGACGGCCCAGGCGCCGACGGGAGGCAGAAGUGGGGAAGAUUGCACAAUGGGCGCAAGCCUGAUGCAGCGACGCCGCGGGGGGGAUGACGGCCUUCGGGUUGUAAACUCCUUUCGCUAGGGACGAAGCGUUUUGUGACGGUACCUGGAGAAGAAGCACCGGCUAACUACGUG
Molecule: ribosomal RNA, 467 nt
Filed under: uncultured bacterium
Lineage: Bacteria
Description: partial 16S ribosomal RNA
Rfam family: Bacterial small subunit ribosomal RNA
Source: RNAcentral